AUGCUCUCUUAGGCAGCACGUAUACUAAAAUUGGAACGAUACAGAGAAGAUGAGUGUGGCCUCUGUGCAAGGAUGACACGCAAAUUCAUAAAGCGUUCCAUAUUUAA
RNAcentral lists this small nuclear RNA (107 nucleotides) under Rhinolophus ferrumequinum (greater horseshoe bat). Lineage: Eukaryota; Metazoa; Chordata; Mammalia; Chiroptera; Rhinolophidae. The record is from RNAcentral.